ACAGCAGUCGCCGCGGUAAUACGUAGGGGGCAAGCGUUAUCCGGAAUUACUGGGUGUAAAGGGAGCGUAGACGGUUAAACAAGUCUGAAGUGAAAUGCCGGGGCUCAACCCCGGAGCUGCUUUGGGAACUGUAGAACUGGAGUGUCGGAGGGGUAAGCGGAAUUCCCAGUGUAGCGGUGAAAUGCGUAGAUAUUGGAGGGAACACCGGCGGCGAAGGCGGCUUACUGGACGACAACUGACGUUGAGGCUCGAAGGCGUGGGUAGCAAACAGGAUUAGAUACCCCAGUAGUCCCUGUCUCUUAUAC
RNAcentral lists this ribosomal RNA (305 nucleotides) under uncultured bacterium. Its description in RNAcentral is "partial 16S ribosomal RNA". It matches the Rfam family "Bacterial small subunit ribosomal RNA", at positions 508 to 807 of the family's 1533-position model. The record is from RNAcentral.